RNAcentral lists this ribosomal RNA (545 nucleotides) under uncultured Bacteroides sp. RNAcentral's name for it is "bacterial SSU rRNA". It matches the Rfam family "Bacterial small subunit ribosomal RNA", at positions 153 to 697 of the family's 1533-position model. The record is from RNAcentral. Lineage: Bacteria; Pseudomonadati; Bacteroidota; Bacteroidia; Bacteroidales; Bacteroidaceae.
GAAAGGAAGAUCCUUUAAGAUGGCAUCAUGAGUCCGCAUGUUCACAUGAUUAAAGGUAUUCCGGUAGACGAUGGGGAUGCGUUCCAUCCGAUAGUAGGCGGGGUAACGGCCCACCUAGUCUUCGAUGGAUAGGGGUUCUGAGAGGAAGGUCCCCCACAUUGGAACUGAGACACGGUCCAAACUCCUACGGGAGGCAGCAGUGAGGAAUAUUGGUCAAUGGGCGAGAGCCUGAACCAGUCAAGUAGCGUGAAGGAUGACUGCCCUAUGGGUUGUAAACUUCUUUUAUAAAGGAAUAAAGUCGGGUAUGCAUACCCGUUUGCAUGUACUUUAUGAAUAAGGAUCGGCUAACUCCGUGCCAACAGCCGCGGUAAUACGGAGGAUCCGAGCGUUAUCCGGAUUUAUUGGGUUUAAAGGGAGCGCAGAUGGAUGUUUAAGUCAGUUGUGAAAGUUUGCGGCUCAACCGUAAAAUUGCAGUUGAUACUGGAUAUCUUGAGUGCAGUUGAGGCAGGCGGAAUUCGUGGUGUAGCGGAGAAAUGCUUAGAUAU